CUUCCUGAGCUGUACCACUCUUGCUGAUGUAGGAAACUAGUGCGACCAAACUCAGUGCAAGAUCUUACAGAAAAGGAAUAUGAUAUUUAUUUACAGAAUUUCCAAGAGCACGUAGCCUUCAUCCAGCAAGAGGAAAGGCGAGGUUUGGGCCACACCAAUUCCCUUCCAUUCAUCCUCAUCUGUGCCACAACACCUAGCCCUGACCUGCAGCUGUCUGGGUGGUUUUGAAUGGAUGACAGUGCUGGCUUG
RNAcentral lists this long non-coding RNA (249 nucleotides) under Apteryx owenii (little spotted kiwi). Its description in RNAcentral is "lncRNA (ENSAOWG00000011991.1)". Lineage: Eukaryota; Metazoa; Chordata; Aves; Apterygiformes; Apterygidae. The record is from RNAcentral.